This 72-nucleotide small RNA is filed under the name Salmonella enterica subsp. enterica serovar Muenchen. RNAcentral's name for it is "partial RtT sRNA". It matches the Rfam family "RtT RNA", at positions 60 to 130 of the family's 130-position model. From Rfam's summary of the family: This family represents a bacterial cis-regulatory element known as RtT RNA. The exact function of RtT is unknown although it is thought that it may be involved in changing the cellular response in relation to amino acid starvation. The record is from RNAcentral. Lineage: Bacteria; Pseudomonadati; Pseudomonadota; Gammaproteobacteria; Enterobacterales; Enterobacteriaceae.
AGAAAGCUUUGCCGCAGGCAACGACCCGAAGGGCGAAACGCGCAGCGCUGAGUCAUCCUUCCCCCACCACCA